CCCUUAGAUGUUCUGGGCCGCACACGCGCUACACUGAAGGAGGCAGCGUGUACUCCUGGAUCGAAAGAUUUGGGUAACCCGCGAAUCUCCUUCGUGCUAGGGAUUGAGGUUUGCAAUUAUCCUUCAUGAACGAGGAAUUCCCAGUAAGUGCAAGUCAUAAGCUUGCGCUGACUAUGUCCCUGCCCUUUGUACACACCGCCCGUCGCUACUACCGAUUGAAUGAUUUAGUGAGGACUUCGGACUGGGACCGAUGCGGCUUUCGGGCUGCGUCGGUAUUCUGGAAAGAUGUCCAAACUGUAUCAUUUAGAGGAAGUAAAANUCGUANCA
RNAcentral lists this ribosomal RNA (327 nucleotides) under uncultured eukaryote. Its description in RNAcentral is "partial 18S ribosomal RNA". It matches the Rfam family "Eukaryotic small subunit ribosomal RNA", at positions 1470 to 1796 of the family's 1831-position model. The record is from RNAcentral.